GGAGAGAGCGCGACACUCAGUAAGAUGCACUGCACCUGCAGGCCGUUGGCGUGCACCACCUCUCGCCUGUCUACCAGGAAGAGCCAGAGCAUGCAGUAGGCACCGGUGCAUGGCCAUAGCAACACUGCGAUGUGCUUGGCUCGCGCCACCGUGCGCAGCGCCUGGGCACGGAGCCGGUGGCAGAGGGCCAGGUGGCACGGCACCGUGAAAGCUGUGAUGGAGCCCGUGGAGGCGUUGAUGCCCGCGUCCUGCAGCUCUCCUGUCCUAGUUGCCAGCUGCCUGCCGGUGAAGGACACAGCCGCCAGCAGUUCUGGGUUAACCUUGUCAGCCUGCACUCAGGAGGAAGAGGCAAGUUCUCCGUCCCGGAAUCUCGGCAUUGUUCCAGGAAAGUGCUGGCAGGUGGACAGGAACUCACUGCAGCCAGGGGGAGGUGCUGGCGUCGCAAGAAGGGAAACCCCUCCCCGGGCUCCGGCUGUUACUGCACGAGGUGGCUCAUGGAGAACUGAGUAUGGAUGGGCUGGUUGGCAAUCGAGCUGCAGAGAGAGCCUUGUGCCCUUGGCUUCCAUCAGGUGUGUGCACUUGCCCUGGGUUGCAAAGCGCACCCUGUGCGUGAUGGCUGAAAAGGGUCGCAGUCUGUUUGGAUGCAGACUCCAGCGGCAGCGGGAGAGUUGA
Molecule: long non-coding RNA, 672 nt
Filed under: Oryctolagus cuniculus (rabbit)
Lineage: Eukaryota; Metazoa; Chordata; Mammalia; Lagomorpha; Leporidae
Description: lncRNA (ENSOCUG00000029823.1)
Source: RNAcentral